This is a non-coding RNA of Phascolarctos cinereus (koala), 500 nucleotides long. Lineage: Eukaryota; Metazoa; Chordata; Mammalia; Diprotodontia; Phascolarctidae. The record is from RefSeq and is a predicted model, not a curated record.
AUCGCUGGGAAACGUAGUCCCUGACCCAGCCCAGCCCUGCCCUGCCGUUCCUGUCCCGUCCAACCCAACCUAAACCGGUCCAGAGAACCCGGCUUUCUAGGACACAAGGGACAUGGAUGAGGUAAUUUGCAAAUGCUUUGCCUGCUACAAUCAGCGCGAAACCCGGGCGUAGGCACGGGCCUGCAGAUGACAUGGUGAGAUUCCCGGACCUCCAGCCAUAAUCCCCGCUUCGCUACCCCAGCCCGAGUUCACGCAGAUCGCCAAGCGCCUCGCUCAAGGAGCACCGUCGGCGAGCCGGAGAAGCCAACUCUCGCAGCAGACUACAAGUCCCAGGAGCCUCGGCUGAUGCCCGGGCCCUUGCCAGCUCCGAGACAUGCAAAAGAGCCCAGGGCCGGAGCCGCGCGGGCUCUGAGUUGAUUUGCUCUGGGUAACCGGAGUCAUUUGCCUAAGAAAUGAACGUUUGCAAAACAAAACAAAACAAAAAAGUUUGUGCCCUUGGA